Molecule: non-coding RNA, 333 nt
Organism: Paramuricea clavata
Lineage: Eukaryota; Metazoa; Cnidaria; Anthozoa; Malacalcyonacea; Plexauridae
Source: the annotation of a GenBank genome assembly
CAUUCUAUCAUUUAAAGUUGUACUCACAAUUCAUUUAUUUAAUUUUAUUGGAAUUUUUCACAUUUCCCUGCCAACCCCCCCUCCCUCAAGUUUCGCCCCUGCUUAAAAUUUCUUGAUACUGAGAAUAUAAAUCUAGCUGCGUUAGUGAUAUCACAGGGACCCAUACUCGAUCAGUAUCAGUUAAAGAGUCCUGGUCAACCACGAUGCAAUGCGCGCUUUUGUUUACGUUUUUCCGUUACUUUUCUCGCCAUUUUCGAGACCACAAAUGACUGCCUCUGGCCCACACCGUAGCAGAAUUUAUUUAUCGUGUUUUAAAUAAAGUUUAUCCUGUCC